GGCUUAAGCAAAAGGUGAAAGAAAAUGAAAAGAAAGCUGUAAGAGAUCAGAAUGUGUAGCCUGCUCAGAGCUAUUCCUGGUAGAAAUUAGAUCCUGAAAGGCCCAGGUGAAAAUCAGAGAUAAUCCCUCUAUACGUGCUUCUAAUUGGGACAAGCUGAGAGCAAGAAAGCUGAAGGAGUCAGCUACGGCCGCUCCACGGGGUUUGUUCCCAGUGAGCACCCAAGGACGCAGUUAUGCAAAGCCUCUUCUAUAAACAGCCCUGCAUUUGCUCUGGCAGAAGUGGGGCUCUAUUUCAGUCCCCACCAUGCAGAGGCGUUACCCUUGUGCUUCCCAUCCCAGCACCCCAGGCCCGCUGCUCUGGCCGUGGCCCCACUGUCGGCUCCUGCCCAUGCCCGCGCCGUCGCCCCAGGCCCAGGCCCGUGCCCAGCCCCUUGGCAGCCAUUUCCUGGCGGGGGGGGCUGGGGGUGCCGCCUGAAGCUAUUCUGGUAGCUGUGAGUCCCGCCGGUGUCAUGUGAACCAAAGGGCCCAGAAAUGCAUGUCAAAUUGGGCCAGUGACUAACCGUGAUAUUUUGGUUGUCUCAGCGCCUCCCAGGCAAAGAUUUAUUGUCCGAGAAAACCUUCACGUAAUAAUCCCUGGGUGCUGACCUGAUCUUCAGAUGAGUGAGUGAGAAAAGACAAUGAAAAGGGGGCUGCUGUGCUGGGCACAGUGAGGUCUAAACUUAUCCGAGGCUGAAACACAAACAAGGGAGGAGAAACACGUCUGCUUCUGCCCAGAGCCAUGCGCUGGCAGCCAGAGAGGAGCUAUUAUUUGAGCUGCCUGAGGAGCAAGGAGGGUCGAGGGCGACGGCUGAGCAGACAGAAAGUGCCACUGGUUGGGAUUGUCAUCUAGCUCCCUCAUCUGUCACCUGAUGGCCAGCCAAGCAAGCACUCAGCAAUGGACCAUUCAUCCCUGCACAAGCAACAGAAGCGAGAAAAGAGUGCGUGUGCGCUAAGGAGGCUAGAAGUGCAUCGACCUCGGACGAGCCGUUAACAGAGUCCCGCGGGGUGCUGCUGUGACAGAUGUCCCAGAAGAUAUCGAGCUACCCUGAUGCUUCAUGUCUGUUCCCAACAAGCACUACAGAUCAUGGCCAGUGGAAAGUAGCUGUUUCCUAUCCUAUUAUCCAGGUUCUGGGCUGUCCUGUGAUCUGUCUGCCUGGACACUACACAAUGACAGCUGGACUCUGCACUCCAGGAUUAACUGUGUGCUUCUAAAAUCCGGAUGGGGGCUGGCUGGAAACUUUACUAUGUCCUGACACAUACACAUGUCAGUGGGGGACAAUACUGUGCAAGUGUUAAGUGGGAAGAAAACAUAGAAGAAAAAUCCACUUGCAACUAGGAAUUACUAGUAGGACAAAGCUGGUGACCAGCCAAUGGGGAAGUGUCUGGUGAUCAUGGCAGAUCAUGCAGCACUCUGGCAGCUUACUAGGCCUUAAUAGAUAAGGCUGAUUAAAGAGGUGUGAAACAGAGGACCUUGUGAAAUACGUGGGAUGUUGGAAGACCGUUCUUUUUUUCUUUUAUUAAUAGUUGAAAGGAAAAAACAACUUCUACAUCACACGAACGGGACUGUUGAAAAGCCACAGAAAUAUCCCAUACUUACUUUUAUCUUCCUGGUUUUC
Molecule: long non-coding RNA, 1655 nt
Organism: Oxyura jamaicensis (ruddy duck)
Lineage: Eukaryota; Metazoa; Chordata; Aves; Anseriformes; Anatidae
Exons: 4
Source: RefSeq, a predicted model, not a curated record